This 230-nucleotide ribosomal RNA is filed under the name uncultured bacterium. RNAcentral's name for it is "partial 16S ribosomal RNA". It matches the Rfam family "Bacterial small subunit ribosomal RNA", at positions 524 to 755 of the family's 1533-position model. The record is from RNAcentral.
UACGGGGGAGCAAGCGUUGUUCGGAAUCACUGGGCGUAAAGGGAGUCUAGGCGGUUUGGUAAGUGGAUGUGAAAUCCCCGGGCUCACCCCGGGACCUGCAUCCCAAACUGCUGAGCUUGAGUACAGGAGAGGGUGGGGGAAUUCCAGGUGUAGCGGUGAAAUGCGUAGAUAUCUGGAGGAACACCGGUGGCGAAGGCGCCCACCUGGCCUGCUACUGACGCUGAGGAGCG